Molecule: long non-coding RNA, 2898 nt
Filed under: Homo sapiens (human)
Lineage: Eukaryota; Metazoa; Chordata; Mammalia; Primates; Hominidae
Description: HSALNT0408829
Source: RNAcentral
GAGGGAGUGCCAAGCUGUUACUGUUUACCCUCUGGCCCAGAUCUUUCUUCAGAAGAAACCUGAGUGGUCUCACAGUUUAUCUCUUACACAGGGGUUUGGAGUAAGAUUCAUACCUGCUUCACCAGUGAUUUUCAAAGGAGGCAAAUCCUAUUUGAAGCUAAAGUCACAUAAAGAGAUUUGGAAUGAGGAAACAAAUUAUAGCAGCCUGCAAGUUGUAGAAUGAAGAAAUGCAAAUGUAAAGUACUGAACUUUGUCAUGGAUAGAUUUACCAAAGAGAAUUACUCUGCAUAACAUGAAUAAUGGAGUUCAGAAGGAAGCCCAUAUCCCAGACUUCCUCGGUUGUGCUGUUUUACUGAGGUUGGGUGGAGUCAACACAUCAUGGAUAAAGAAGUCCCUAAAGGCAGUCCCAGGGAGCCCGCACUGAACAUCAAGAAGUCAGACAAAUCCUUCAAACGCAAGAAGCCCACCGAAAAUGUGCUGAUCUUUUUAAUCAACAGACAACUGGGCAGGCACAGAAGUGACAUCGACCUGUCAAGAUGGGUGUGGAUGCUGUCAUAAAGCAACUCUAGGGUGGACAUGGCCUUGGACAAAAAGUCAUGUGGCUUACGUGCUGAAGCCUGCCCAUAUUUUUGAGAAAUUAAAUAUAAUUAGAACAAUAAACUCCUCCCAUGUUUGAGUCAUUAAAACAGAGUCUGUCAUUUCACUCCUUGAGGUUGGAUGUGUGUUUGCUGACAGGGUGUUCUUGGGUUACACUGGAAGGGGCUUCUGUUCAUCCUAACACGCUGUGCAGGGGUGCUUAGACCCAGGGGAGAGGGUGAGAUCAUGCUGCACACCAGAUCUCUCCCACCAUCAAUCUGAAAAACACUGCAAAGUCAAAGUGAUGUAGUACUUGGCAUUUAAGGACCAAAGACUCUUCUCCCUAGCCAUUUUGAAGAGACUGCCCUGGUGUUCCCCUCUAAAACCCAAUGCUUGUCCUAGUGAAAAGACAUUGUUUAAGAGCAGACCAACAGUUGGCCUGGGGGUUUGGGAUAUGUUUUAAUACUGCCAAUGUCAUAUCCACAGAGCCUUCCAGAGGCAACCGCUCUGCCCUUUGUCCCCAGGAAAGUAUAGAAUGCUCUGGUCACUUUUUUGUGUCAUGUCAAACAAACCUGCUCAGGCCACAGCCAAAGAUAAUUCAUUUGACUGAAAUGAAGCCACCUGGUAGGACAACAACACACAUGAGAUGGCUCCCAUUGAAGAAGCUCUGUCCCCAAGGAAUGUGCUGAGCAAGUCAGAUACUCAUUCUGAGAAACCUGAAAUGGGAACUAUGUGGGCAAUUGGUCACUGACAAGUGAGAGUUAAAGCUGAAGAGGGGACAGGGAGAGCAAAGAGGUCAGAGCCGUGGCAAACAUGGGCAAGCCUAAGUGAGGAGUAAGAUGAAAUUUACAUAAGGUGAACCAUUAAAGCCAUCACAGAUUCCAAGCAUUUCUCUUGUCCUUUCACGUGAGCUGCAAAAUAAGCCCCUGCAAGCAGUCCUCUGUCCCCUCUUCCCCUCCUCCCCAAUUCCCUGUGUUCUCACAACCUGUCCAGCAUUCCCCAAGGCCCCUUCCUGUGUCCCCUCCCCCGCCUACAUCUAAGGGGCUGUUACUCUCUCUUCCCUUAGCCAGGUCUCUUCCAGAUUUUUUAUGUGGUACGAAGUUAAACUGCUCUAUGUCCUUUUCACUGUCCUCUUUGUCCCUGUCACCUUCUCUGUCCCUGCACUGAUGCAGCAUCGCCAAAAAAGAGCCACCAGCCUCUCCUCAGAGGACGCAGCUGGCUGUAGGAUGGAGAGGAGGGGUUAGAGGCUGCCAGGUAGAGGGGCCUCCUGGGUGCACCGUUGGGAGGAACGCUGCCUGGACACUGCUAUGUCGGUGACUAUUUACCUGCAGCCCAGCAUCAAACAGUGGCUGUGAGGUGGAGAAUAGGUGGGGAAUGGAGGCUGAAAGGGCAGCAGGUAGGGCAAGAAGGAGCCAAACCCACAGGAGCAGAGGCCAAUAACAGCCAACCUCCUACACUCCAUGGCCACACAACAGAAGAGACAGAAUUUAGGAUACAGAGUUAUGUGUGGAUAAAUCUCACCAUCAUACUGAGUGAGAAAACAAGUAGCACAGAAUUAUGUACCAAAGAGAAACCCAACUGUGCCAAGCAGUACUUGGGUAUAUACAUAGACAGUAAAGUUAUCCAAACUAGAGCAGCAGCACAUUCAAGUGGAACUCUGUCCACUUUCCGACUUGACUAGUGCCCCAAAACAAUUGGUACCAACUAUUUCCCAUCUUGCAAGGAGUUGCCUAACAAUGGAGGCCUGGUAAAGAAGGUAAUCACAAUCAUGUGACCUCUGACCACUCACUCACCUACAGGUGUCUACUCACACUGGAAGUCUGGGUGGGUUGGAGACCAGAGAGGCAUGCUUCCCAGGGAUUGGAGGCUGUGCCGAGUUUAAACGAGGAAAACUUCCUACACUUCAAAUUCACUGGAAGGUUGGGGCUACUCAGUGUUCACCUAGAGAACUUGACUUUUGUUUCCAGAAGUGACACUCACAAGGAAGAAAUUCAGGAGGAAAGUGGCUGUAGGAGAGGGAGAGAAGAUUUGGCCAAAAUUCCUCUGAAGAGAUUUUUCUCAGGAGAUCUUAGUGGCGGCCAAAUGUAACCUUCUCGGGACGGGGAAGGGGGUGGGAAUCUGGAUGCAGCUGACUCACAGGAAUCAGAGGCUGACUGGAGACCAUGCACACAGUGUCAGGAGACACUCUCUUCUUCUACUCUUUCAUUUCUAGCUGCUGCCUCUCAUUGCUCAAAUCACUAACCAGACAGCCAGGAAGCCAAGGUGAUGUCUUCCAUGGUAUCAGCCUUCUGGAACACACAGCCCUGCAGAGAAGCAUAUAUC